Molecule: long non-coding RNA, 1370 nt
Organism: Colossoma macropomum (tambaqui)
Lineage: Eukaryota; Metazoa; Chordata; Actinopteri; Characiformes; Serrasalmidae
Exons: 5
Source: RefSeq, a predicted model, not a curated record
CUCACCGUCCACCACCUCCUCAACGUCCGCCACCUCCUCACCGUCCACCACCUCCUCACUAUCCACCACCUCCUCACCGUCCACCACCUCCUCACUAUCCACCACCUCCACUCUGACAGCUCUGACCGGUUGUCCAUUAGGUGAGCCCAAAGGCACAGAAGCUACUAGAGACAGACAAUAUCUGUAUCUGAUGGUCACUGGGGGGACUUUACUAACAGUGGCCGUAGUGGUCACUGUGAUCUGGAGGAGACGGACACAGAGACGUGGGAAUCACAUGACGUUGGAGGGGGCGGAGCCAGAAGAGCUCAUGGUGAAAGAUGAUGUUGAUUUGCUGGACCAUGAAUGGACAAACAGGACCGUUCUUAAACUGGAGGAAACAAACACUGCAGCAGCGCUUUAACAGCACAGAGACUCUCAGAAAUACUGUAGCAUUACAAACCCAGUUCUCAAUGUUUUUUAUAUUUAUAAUUUCAUGUUUCACCUGAUGAAUUACUGAAUGUGAAACAGGCUGUAAUCCAGUGCAGGUCACAUGUAAUAACAAACCCUCUGAAGGUGAACUGUGGGGUGUUUUGGGUCAUUUUAUAGCUCCGGCGCGUUUUACUGAACCCUCGUCAGCACUCGUGAUGGAGUGUAAGUGAUCACUGGAGUGUGUGUGUGUGUGUGUGUGUGUGUGUGUGUGUGUGUGUGUGUGUGUGUGUGAUGGUGUCAGGUGGUCUGAAUGAAUCCUGAACCAGUUUCAAGCUUCUUCCAGAUUCCAGAUCACUUCAGGAAUGUGGGCAGUAAUGGUGGCAUUUAGCCCACCUGGCUAACAACCAUUAACUAAUCUGGCCAACAGGCUUUGGCUCACCUGGCCAACAACCUUUGGCCCACCUGGCUAACAGCCUUUAACUAAUCUGGCCAGCGGCCUUUAGCCCACCCAGCUAACAGCCUUUGGCCCACCUGGCUAACAGCCCUUAACUCAGAUUAACACAGCCUAAAUAUUGGAAAAUGAUAUUCAGAGUAUUGGUCUCAUGUCAGACCUGUCACUGCAGUCGUAUCGCUGACGUACGCCGGUCACCUGAAGUGACAGCUAACAUUAGCCCAGUGACCACAGCUCUAAUAGAGACACUGGUCAUUUACUGUCACAUUAGUUAACAAAGUAUUGAGACAGUUAAAAUCUCAUCACUGUCCAAAUAAAACCUUCCAUCUUCAAAAUACCAACUUUUCAGAAAAAAAAAAACAUUCUUAAUAUGUAAUAUCACAUUAGCUAAUAAAUACUAACAUUGAACCAUCUCUUUUAUGUGUGUCUUAUUGUCCUCAAAUGUAUUGAUUUGGCACAAUGCUGUCACAUGCAGUGGGCUAAUUUUAUUUAUCUGUGAUAAUCUGAAAUC